ACGGGUGAGUAAUGUCUGGGAAACUGCCCGAUGGAGGGGGAUAACUACUGGAAACGGUAGCUAAUACCGCAUAACGUCUUCGGACCAAAGUGGGGGACCUUCGGGCCUCACACCAUCGGAUGUGCCCAGAUGGGAUUAGCUAGUAGGUGGGGUAACGGCUCACCUAGGCGACGAUCCCUAGCUGGUCUGAGAGGAUGACCAGCCACACUGGAACUGAGACACGGUCCAGACUCCUACGGGAGGCAGCAGUGGGGAAUAUUGCACAAUGGGCGCAAGCCCGAUGCAGCCAUGCCGCGUGUAUGAAGAAGGCCUUCGGGUUGUAAAGUACUUUCAGUGGGGAGGAAGGCGAUGGAGUUAAUAGCUUCGUCGAUUGACGUUACCCGCAGAAGAAGCACCGGCUAACUCCGUGCCAGCAGCCGCGGUAAUACGGAGGGUGCAAGCGUUAAUCGGAAUUACUGGGCGUAAAGCGCACGCAGGCGGUCUGUCAAGUCGGAUGUGAAAUCCCCGGGCUCAACCUGGGAACUGCAUUCGAAACUGGCAGGCUAGAGUCUUGUAGAGGGGGGUAGAAUUCCAGGUGUAGCG
This 582-nucleotide ribosomal RNA is filed under the name uncultured Erwinia sp. Its description in RNAcentral is "bacterial SSU rRNA". It matches the Rfam family "Bacterial small subunit ribosomal RNA", at positions 102 to 680 of the family's 1533-position model. Lineage: Bacteria; Pseudomonadati; Pseudomonadota; Gammaproteobacteria; Enterobacterales; Erwiniaceae. The record is from RNAcentral.